GAAAAUUCUCGAAGCAAAACGCUUCAGAAAACACUGUGUGCACUGUUUUUCUGUCUCUGGCAGGACCAGGGAGCAGCGAUGCUCCCUCCCCCUGCCAAAGGAGGUGGGAGCUGCCCUUUUUUCGGGCGACUUCCAUUCUGAUUUGAACAACCCUAUGUUUGUUUUCAAUUUGUCUGAAUAAUUCUUCACCUAGUGUGAGAAAUUGAAAAA
Molecule: unclassified non-coding RNA, 210 nt
Filed under: soil metagenome
Description: partial internal transcribed spacer 1
Source: RNAcentral